GACGAACGCUGGCGGCGUGCUUAACACAUGCAAGUCGAGCGGUAAGGCCCUUUCGGGGGUACACGAGCGGCGAACGGGUGAGUAACACGUGGGUGACCUGCCCUUAGCUCUGGGAUAAGCCUGGGAAACUGGGUCUAAUACCGGAUAUGACUCCAUGACGCAUGUUGUGGGGUGGAAAGCCUUGUGCGGCUAGGGAUGGGCCCGCGGCCUAUCAGCUUGUUGGUGGGGUGAUGGCCACCAAGGCGACGACGGGUAGCCGGCCUGAGAGGGCGACCGGCCACACUGGGACUGAGACACGGCCCAGACUCCUACGGGAGGCAGCAGUGGGGAAUCUUGCGCAAUGGGCGAAAGCCUGACGCAGCAACGCCGCGUGGAGGAUGAAGUCCCUUGGGACGUAAACUCCUUUCGAUCGGGACGAUAAUGACGGUACCGGAAGAAGAAGCCCCAGCUAACUUCGUGCCAGCAGCCG
This 469-nucleotide ribosomal RNA is filed under the name uncultured bacterium. RNAcentral describes it as "bacterial SSU rRNA". It matches the Rfam family "Bacterial small subunit ribosomal RNA", at positions 28 to 517 of the family's 1533-position model. The record is from RNAcentral.